UUUAUCGCGUGUCAAGCAGUCCAGCUGUUCUUGUAAUUAAAAAAAUACGAAAAAGGAGCAUCCGUUUAUUUGUGAGAAGAUAGAGCAGUGAUAUGAUAUCAUCAAGUAGUGAUGAAUGGGUCAAUGAGGAGCAAGAGACACUCUUCUGACAUCUUGGGAUCAGCCUGCUCGAGCCAAACUUUGCGAAUCUCUCGACAAUUGGGCUCCUAAAAGACGUGAUGACCAGAUACGCAACAGGUGUGAACACAGUAUCCUGAUUUAAUCGUUACAAUUCCGCAUAAUUUGGAUUUCAGUAACUGACUAAUAA
Molecule: long non-coding RNA, 307 nt
Organism: Argiope bruennichi
Lineage: Eukaryota; Metazoa; Arthropoda; Arachnida; Araneae; Araneidae
Exons: 3
Source: RefSeq, a predicted model, not a curated record